RNAcentral lists this ribosomal RNA (253 nucleotides) under uncultured bacterium. RNAcentral describes it as "partial 16S ribosomal RNA". It matches the Rfam family "Bacterial small subunit ribosomal RNA", at positions 524 to 776 of the family's 1533-position model. The record is from RNAcentral.
UACAGAGGGGGCAAGCGUUGUUCGGAAUUACUGGGCGUAAAGGGCGCGUAGGCGGCCUUCUAAGUCGAACGUGAAAUCCCUGGGCUCAACCCAGGAACUGCGUCCGAUACUGGGAGGCUUGAAUCCGGGAGAGGGAUGUGGAAUUCCAGGUGUAGCGGUGAAAUGCGUAGAUAUCUGGAGGAACACCGGUGGCGAAGGCGGCAUCCUGGACCGGUAUUGACGCUGAGGCGCGAAAGCCAGGGGAGCGAACGGG